This 447-nucleotide ribosomal RNA is filed under the name uncultured bacterium. Its description in RNAcentral is "bacterial SSU rRNA". It matches the Rfam family "Bacterial small subunit ribosomal RNA", at positions 330 to 794 of the family's 1533-position model. The record is from RNAcentral.
GCCAGACUCCUACGGGAGGCAGCAGUGGGGGAUAUUGCACAAUGGGGGAAACCCUGAUGCAGCAACGCCGCGUGAGUGAAGAAGUAUUUCGGUAUGUAAAGCUCUAUCAGCAGGGAAGAGAAUGACGGUACCUGACUAAGAAGCCCCGGCUAACUACGUGCCAGCAGCCGCGGUAAUACGUAGGGGGCGAGCGUUAUCCGGAUUUACUGGGUGUAAAGGGAGCGUAGACGGCUGGUCAAGUCUGAAGUGAAAGCCCGGGGCUUAACCCCGGAACGGCUUUGGAAACUGAGCAGCUAGAGUGCUGGAGAGGUAAGCGGAAUUCCUAGUGUAGCGGUGAAAUGCGUAGAUAUUAGGAGGAACACCAGUGGCGAAGGCGGCUUACUGGACAGUAACUGACGUUGAGGCUCGAAAGCGUGGGGAGCAAACAGGAUUAGAUACCCUAGUAUA